UCGAUCUCCGUUACCGUCAAUAAUUCCUUCGUCAUUUCCAUUUGCUUCCUGCGGUUUUAGGUCAGUUGUGUCUCGGACCAUCACAUGUUCUUUUUUUUUUUUUUGGAAUACUAUCACAUGUUCUUUACCUCGAAUUUACCACACCUAUUUUUUUUGUUUUUUUUUUUUUUGUUUUUUGAAAGCAGGGGAACAACAAGGCAAAGAAGCCAAAGAACAAGAAAGCCUACAGAGAGGCAAACACAAAGCAGGAAACCAAGUAGUGAACGGGGAUACAACAGAGACACCGCCACCUAGUGGAGACGUCACCCCAAACACCACCAAAAAGAAAUCAAUGAGGACACGGGAGCCCAUCAUUGUUCAAAACAAAGACCAACGAAGAUGGGGGCCGCUCGACCCUAACAGAAUCACUCAUCUCCGUAAAACCAACUGACGCUAGCUCAUGCGCUGCACCAUUAGCUGAUCUAGGUACCCAAGACCAGCGACAGAACUGGAAGGCCUCCCCAAGCUGUUUGACCCGAGCCAACACAGGGAAAGACUCCCAACUGCCCAUCUCUAAAAAACCAGAGAGACAAUUAACAGCAUCAAGAGAAUCAGAUUCAAUAAUCAGAGCAUUGAUACCCAAAGCUACACCCAAUUCACAACCACGAAGCAAAGCUAAAGCCUCAACUGCAGCAGCCGAGGGAGCAGAAAAAGGGUACCUUGCAGCAGCAACAAACCUCCCUUCCGUAGCCUGCAUAACCACCCCAGCGAAACCCAACUUUGAAACCUUUGACCAACUAGCAUCAAUAUUUAUCUUGAUGAAAGGAAAGGUAGGAGCACACCAACGCGAAACAUGCCCCACCCUACCAGAUCCCUCCAACCUGGACGCUCCCAAAAUAUCUUUCGAAGCCAAGAAAGAGCCCACAACCGUAGAUAAAGCAAACAACACUUUAGAAGGAUUAAUGGGCACCUUAUUAUACACAAAGUCACAGCGCGUCUUCCAAAUAAACCAACAGGUAUAAGCAAUAUAAGACCGCAUCCACUUAGCAUGGGUAGAGGACGCAAAGGAAGAAGACCACACAUCCUUUAACCAAUCCACCCAAGAGUGAAUAGCAUCACGAUCAAUUUUGUAGUUCAGGGCACCUCCAAACCAAAUAGGCUCAACCCACGAACAAUUAAGAAAAAGAUGCCCAAUAGUCUCAUCAUGGCAAAGACAAAUAUGACAGAUAAAGGAAAUAGAGGACCUUCUGCGAAAAAGGGCCGCACAAGUAGAAAGGCAAUUAUGCAAAGUGAGCCAUAGAAAAUGGCGCAAUUUCGGGGGCACCUCAAGCUUCUAGAUAAGGAACCCCACGAGCAGUAGAAAGCCGAUUAUCCCUCAGAGCAAGCGAUCUACUUUGAAUCCACCGGUAACCCGACUUGACUGUGUAAAUACCAUUCUUACUACAUCCCAAAAUAAUCCGGUCCUUGUGACUCAAAUCACCAAUUGGAGUGUCCUUAAUAGCCUUUUUAUCCGUAUCCGAGAGGAAAGGUAGCAGGAAAUUAAGAUCCCACCUCCUAGAAACCGGACAAAUAAGCGAGCUCACACGCAAACUAGAGGUAACCGGAACCGACCCAAAAGGCAGAGAAUGACCUAAAGACAG
RNAcentral lists this long non-coding RNA (1619 nucleotides) under Malus domestica (apple). Its description in RNAcentral is "long non-coding RNA (MDOM_LNC011910)". The record is from RNAcentral. Lineage: Eukaryota; Viridiplantae; Streptophyta; Magnoliopsida; Rosales; Rosaceae.